AACGAACGCUGGCGGCAUGCCUAACACAUGCAAGUCGAACGAGACCUUCGGGUCUAGUGGCGCACGGGUGCGUAACGCGUGGGAACCUGCCCUUAGGUUCGGAAUAACUCCCCGAAAGGGGUGCUAAUACCGGAUAAUGUCUUCGGACCAAAGAUUUAUCGCCUUUGGAUGGGCCCGCGUUGUAUUAGCUAGUUGGUAGGGUAAAAGCCUACCACGGCGACGAUCCAUAGCUGGUCUGAGAGGAUGAUCAGCCACACUGGGGCUGAGACACGGCCCAGACUCCUACGGGAGGGAGCAGUGGGGGAUAUUGGACAAUGGGGGAAAGCCUGAUCCAGCAAUGCCGCGUGAGUGAUGAAGGCCGUAGGGUUGUAAAGCUCUUUUACCCGGGAUGAUAAUGACAGUACCGGGAGAAUAAGCUCCGGCUAACUCCGUG
This 433-nucleotide ribosomal RNA is filed under the name uncultured bacterium. RNAcentral describes it as "partial 16S ribosomal RNA". It matches the Rfam family "Bacterial small subunit ribosomal RNA", at positions 29 to 507 of the family's 1533-position model. The record is from RNAcentral.